AGUGCGCAGAGGGAAUUAUGGGUAAAAUAUUGCUAAAUUUAUUUAGUGUCCAUAUGAAGUGCAAACGGUGAAAGUGCGUCGUAAUUAGUGAAACUUUUUAAUUGAUUAGAAGCAAUGGAUCAAGAUAAAAUCAUUCAUAUCAACGAUCAUCACAACAGGGUACAACUAUAAAGAAGAACGUGUCGAACAAGAGAGACUAUCAUCGACAUAUCGAACAGAUACAACUGUAACAGAAAUUAUAUACCGAGCAGAUGCAACUAUAAAGAGAUACCAUUCUACAUGAAGUGGUUAUAUUGACAUUGUACAUUCAUACAUUGUACAUUACGAUACAUUUAAGAGGAAAGUUCUAGUGUAGAUAAAUAUAUAGAAUUUGAUAAUAUGAAUGAAGUUUUAAACAAGAACUUUAAAACUUUGUAUCCAAAGUUGGAAAAUGCUGUGAACAAUGCAACUUUUAUUGCCAUCGAUGCUGAAUUUACUGGUUUAUAUUCAGAAGAGAAAUUGAAACAUAGCUUUUUCGAUUCGUUCAAUGAUCGUUAUAAAUUAUUAAAGAAAAAUAUUCAACAAUUUAUGAUAAUACAAUUUGGUAUUGCAACUUUCCGUCAUGUUCCUUAUGAAAAUACCUAUAAAGUAGAUUGUUUUAAUUCUUAUUUGUUUCCAAAAUCUAUACCAUUAAAAAAUAGACAUUUAAUAUGGCAAGUGGCAGCAUUAGAGUUCCUUUGUAAACAUAAUUUUGAAUUUAAUAAAUUUUUAAAUGAAGGUAUUUCGUUCUUGGAUGAGACAGAUGAAAAGUUAUUAAAGAAUUAUAUAAAAGGAGGUAGUUUAGCAUAUAAUUUAAAUCAUUUAACAUAUGAAGAGGAAAAUGAGUUCAUAGAUUAUAAAACUAAGAUUUCUGAAUGGAUUGCUAAUAAUAAGAGUGAACAAACAUUAAACAUACAAACUUCUAAUCCUAUAUUACAAUAUUUGAUACAUAAAGAUAUAAGGUACAAUUAUAAAAAUAUUUGGAGUAUAUCGGAUCAUAAAUCAGUAUGUAUUGUAGAAAUAUCACCUGACAUGCAUGAACUUUUAAAAAAGAAUGAUGAAGAAAAUUUGGAGAAAGAAUUGUUAGAUUAUUACAUAGGAUUUUCUAAAGUAUUUAAACUUUUAUCCUCCUCUAAAAAAAUAAUAAUAGGACACAAUAUACUUUUAGAUUUGAUGUUUAUGCAUCAACAAUUUUAUAAACCACUGCCAAAUUCAUAUAAUGAAUUCAAAAACAAUAUACAUGAAUUAUUUCCACAAAUAUAUGAUACAAAAUUUUUAAGUUACGAAGUACGAAAAUUAUUUAGCAAGGAAGAAGUGAGUUGGAAAAUAAGUUCAUUGAGUACUUUAUACGAAUAUUUUACAACUAAAGGAAAGUUAUUAACCUUGAAUUCACCAAAGAUUGUAAUUAAUGAAGAAUCUUCAAUCCCAGAUAUUAUCCUAGAUGAAAAAAAGUAUCAUACUGCUGGAUGGGAUGCUUACUUUGCUGGAUAUAUAUAUAUAAAAAUGGCACACAUAUUUUGUGUAAAUAAAUUUGGAACAGGUUUGGAAGAAAGAAGAGCAACGCAUGCUGAACUAAUAAACAGCAUAAAAAACUUUGUAAAUUGUAUAAAUAUAACAAGAGGCAAUGAAAUGUAUAUGAAAUUUGAUGGUCCAGACCCAAUGUUAUCAAGACCAGAAUGGCUUCAUGUAAAGUUAAAAUCACCAACUGUAGAUAUUAAACAGUUGAUGGAGAAGUUUUCAUCUUUUGGCCAAGUGGAUGUGAUGCCUUUUGCUCAAAGACGUGUUUUGGUAGCUGUAGCAAACCACAAAAGGCAAUGAGCUUAUUUAACAUGAAAUAAAUUUAAACUUCGUUGUCGUCCAGCAUAAAUAUCUUCAUGGCUGGCCGUCAAGCUGACACAAGACACGCUUGCAGAAACUCGUAUUUUACGUUUUGUACUUACAUCAUAAUUCGGGUUAUCAAAACAAUGAGGUGAGAUUAAAGGAAAAGUGCAAAUACGACCAAUCCAUAUAAACGUGUCGCGAUUUCUAUAAAUAUCAAAUGUAGAGAAAGGACAGGUGUUUCAGUAUGAAGCUGCUUCAAAGUAAGGUGCCGGAACAAUUUUGGAUCUUAUCCAAGGGCAACCGCGUAUACUCAUCAUUGCGCUUACAAAGUGAUAUCGAUGCACGUGAUUUUAUAUGACGAUUUUGAAUGCAUAGAUCAAAUGUGAUUCGCUUCGAUGGAAAAUCAACAGCGCGUUACACAUAUUGCGGCAUUUCAAUAGCAGCGAGGAAUUUCAAGUGGCACGGUAUAGUCGCAUAAGGCACGCGACACCCAUCAGCAUCUGUUUGUGGAGCGGAGUCAUCUUGUCCGGAAGCUUAUUUGCCUGGAUGUUGAAAAAAUGCUUUUAAAAAGCUACUUGAAUGCGAAUAUUUAUCUGAAUGCAGUUAUCAUUUGUGAUUGAAUAAUAAUCGUGUAAAUUAUAAUAAUUAUUAACUAAGGUAAUUAAGGUUUAUUUAGCAAUUAAUAAUUGUAAGAAAAUAAUAUUUUACAAUAUUGUAUUGCCAACGAAAUCACAGAUAAAUAGUUAAUUCGAGCUAAAUAGUUUUAUUAAGUUCAUUGAAUCGUCAUGGUUUUUCUUACAAGGAAAAAACGAGGAGAAGAAAGAUGAAAAAUGAGAGAGAGGUAAGAAAGUGAAGUGUGUGGUUCGACUUCCGUCCGACUACUCGGCCCAGGAAGAAUGUCUUCGUCUUUGUCUUCCUUUCUUACGCUCGUUUCGCGAACACCGGCCGCAGAAUCUAUUUAAAUAUUAGAUUGAAAUCGCGAGUGGAAUCUUUGCGUGAGCUGUUAUUAUUAUUUCUCGUUCUGGUUUGUCGACGUUCCGGGCCAGAGCUCGUUUUCGUCAAGGAAUCUAUCCACCGUGGUGCCAAACCUGUGCGUUUGAGUUUUUCAAACUCGUGAAAAAUCCAAAUGAUUCUCUCCAAUCUGUCCAUCGAUCGACACGCAUCUUUGCAUCUAUUGUAUCUUUUAUCUUAUAUUUUGUUUUAUUUAUUAUACGCAGGCACAUAGUUUUGACUUUUAUCAAAAUACGUCUUUUACGUUACAUCUUCUACAAGUAAUUUUCCUCGGACACGUAAUAAAAAUUCAUAAGAUUCUUAGAAGAUUGAAAAUUUAUAUAAAUAAUUGUAUACAACAAUAACGUAUUAAAAACAAAACAAGGAACAAGUAAUAAUACGUGACAGAUUGUAUCAUAAAUUUAUUAGCAAUCUUGGCAGAAACGUUGGGACAGUCAUGCUCAAAAACGAUUCAAAUAAUAUUUUUCAUUGUGAACAAUUGUUAAAAAUAUGAUAAACAUUGUAAAAUCUUGAAGAAGAUAUUCCUUUAUUAAUCAUGUCACCGUUGAUGGAUUCAACGAAUAUAACGAUUUCAAAUUCCUA
Unclassified non-coding RNA from Apis florea (little honeybee), 3432 nucleotides. The record is from RefSeq and is a predicted model, not a curated record. Lineage: Eukaryota; Metazoa; Arthropoda; Insecta; Hymenoptera; Apidae.